UUUUUUUUACGAGAUGGCUUGUGAUGCAUUAUAAGGGUAAAGUGCUGGCAGAUGAAAAUACAUAUUAAAGUUUAUAAAAAGUUAGAAGCACCCAUUACUUAAAACACACAAUCAUAAAAGCUGUAUAUGAUAUAAAUAAUAUAAACAAAUAUAUAGCACUGAUAUUGGAUGUUUUUAUUUCACUCAUAUUGAAAAAGUUUAUAUAAAAAAAAAAGGUGAAGAAGAUAUUUUUGUGUUUAAUGGUAGCUAAGGAUGUCUGAUGUAUAAUAUUUACAUAACAGCUGAUUUUUUUUUUAUAGGAAUGUCAUGCAACAAAUUCUGUUCUUCUCUAAACAGCAACAAUACAGUUAUACAUACAGCAGAAUUUUGGCAUGUGAAUUCUGAAAUCCUAAAGGCAUUUUUUAAUCUCAGAGAACUCAAUUAAACAUAAUGGCCCAUUACUUAUUGUUUUUUACACAUUAUGGCAUUGUUAUUACUUCAAACCUGUUCCACGAACUGUGUACAGUACUUGUUCUCUCCCCCCC
This is a non-coding RNA of Biomphalaria pfeifferi, 524 nucleotides long. Lineage: Eukaryota; Metazoa; Mollusca; Gastropoda; Planorbidae. The record is from the annotation of a GenBank genome assembly.